Molecule: ribosomal RNA, 253 nt
Filed under: uncultured bacterium
Lineage: Bacteria
Description: partial 16S ribosomal RNA
Rfam family: Bacterial small subunit ribosomal RNA
Source: RNAcentral
UACGUAGGGGGCAAGCGUUAUCCGGAUUUACUGGGUGUAAAGGGGGCGCAGACGGCAAUGCAAGCCAGGAGUGAAAGCCCGGGGCCCAACCCCGGGACUGCUCUUGGAACUGCAUGGCUGGAGUACAGGAGGGGCAGGCGGAAUUCCUGGUGUAGCGGUGAAAUGCGUAGAUAUAUGGAGGAACACCGGUGGCGAAAGCGGCUCUCUGGCCUGUAACUGACACUGAGGCUCGAAAGCGUGGGGAGCAAACAGG